GACGAGGGGUCCUAGCGUUGUUCGGAAUCACUGGGCGUAAAGCGUAUGUAGGCGGGCUUUUAAGUCGGGUGUGAAAUCCCACGGCUCAACCGUGGAAUUGCAUUCGAAACUGGAAGUCUUGAGUGUGGGAGAGAUUGGUAGAAUACCUGGUGUAGUGGUGAAAUACGUAGAUAUCAGGUGGAAUACCGGUGGCGAAGGCGGCCAAUUGGCCCAACACUGACGCUGAGAUACGAAAGCGUGGGGAGCAAACAGG
RNAcentral lists this ribosomal RNA (253 nucleotides) under uncultured bacterium. RNAcentral describes it as "partial 16S ribosomal RNA". It matches the Rfam family "Bacterial small subunit ribosomal RNA", at positions 524 to 776 of the family's 1533-position model. The record is from RNAcentral.